GAGUAACACGUGACUAACCUACCUUCGAGUGGGGAAUAACCUCGGGAAACCGGGGCUAAUACCGCAUAACAUCAUCGGGUGAAAUUCCUGCUGAUCAAAAGCUUUUUGCUUGAAGAGGGGGUCGCGGCUGAUUAGCUAGUUGGUGAGGUAACGGCUCACCAAGGCGGUGAUCAGUAGCCGGCCUGAGAGGGCGCACGGCCACACUGGAACUGAAACACGGUCCAGACUCCUACGGGAGGCAGCAGUGGGGAAUUUUGCGCAAUGGGGGAAACCCUGACGCAGCAACGCCGCGUGGAGGAUGAAGUCCCUUGGGACGUAAACUCCUUUCGAUCGGGACGAAUAAUGACGGUACCGGAAGAAGAAGCCCCGGCUAACUUCGUGCCAGCAGCCGCGGUAAUACGAGGGGGGCAAGCGUUGUUCGGAAUUAUUGGGCGUAAAGGGCGCGUAGGCGGUGCGGAAAGUCUUCAGUGAAAUCUCUGGGCUCAACUCAGAGUUGGCUGGGGAAACUCCCGUGCUUGAGUGUGGGAGAGGUGAGUGGAAUUCCCGGUGUAGCGGUGAAAUGC
RNAcentral lists this ribosomal RNA (563 nucleotides) under uncultured bacterium. Its description in RNAcentral is "bacterial SSU rRNA". It matches the Rfam family "Bacterial small subunit ribosomal RNA", at positions 108 to 689 of the family's 1533-position model. The record is from RNAcentral.